CAGUAGCCGCGGUAAAACGUAGGUGGCAAGCGUUGUCCGGAAUUAUUGGGCGUAAAGGGUUCGCAGGCGGUUUCUUAAGUCUGAUGUGAGAGCCCCCGGCUCAACCGGGGAGGGUCAUCGGAAACUGGGAAACUUGAGUGCAGAAGAGGAGAGUGGAAUUCCACGUGUAGCGGUGAAAUGCGUAGAGAUGUGGAGGAACACCAGUGGCGAAGGCGACUCUCUGGUCUGUAACUGACGCUGAGGAGCGAAAGCGUGGGGAGCGAACAGGAUUAGAGACCCCCGUAGUCCCUGUCUCUUAUAC
Molecule: ribosomal RNA, 301 nt
Filed under: uncultured bacterium
Lineage: Bacteria
Description: partial 16S ribosomal RNA
Rfam family: Bacterial small subunit ribosomal RNA
Source: RNAcentral